Molecule: long non-coding RNA, 2287 nt
Organism: Hemicordylus capensis (graceful crag lizard)
Lineage: Eukaryota; Metazoa; Chordata; Lepidosauria; Squamata; Cordylidae
Exons: 4
Source: RefSeq, a predicted model, not a curated record
UCGAGUAGGGCCCAAGCCAGCCAGGAAGGAGGAGGCAGCCAGAGUGUUCUCUGCAGCAGAAGACCUCUUGCUGCCCUGCUUAACCCAGACCAGCAUUUGCCAGGUAAAUGAAACAACUUUUUUUCAAAGAAAAGAAAGCUGAAAAUUCAGGGGAGGAUAAAUGUAAUAGUGGCUAGGCUGCUACAGACCCCGCCCUCUGCUCCAAAGUCCGCUACUCCCAUCUCUACACGUGUUCUUCUGAAAGGAUCUUUUCUGUGUCUAAACCUAAAGAGCAACAUUUCUGUUCUGCCACUCAUUUACGCAUGCAUUCUGGCAAAACACUGAUUUCAGACCCCAGCCUACAGGCAGAUUGGCUAUUAAAACACACACACACACACACACACACACCCCUUCAGACAUUGGCUCCCCCUGAGAAAAUGUUAGCCAAUCAGCCCUGACUAUUAGCAAACAAGGAGUUUAACAUAGGAUGGUUCCAGAACAAUCUUAAUGCCAUUGCUAUGUGGAAUAUGAGAUGCAAAAUGAGUUUAAAUAUAAGAAAAAUAAAAACUGUUGACAGAAAGGAGCCAAAGGAAAAUAUGCCAGAAUAUGAAAGCCUCAAAAAGCAGAACAACUUCUAUGCAAGUUUAACACAAUUGGCACCUCACUGAAACAUAAAUCCCUCUUUUGUUCUGAAAGACUAAAGCACCAGAAGAAAAACUGGUCCACCAACUAGCUAAUCAUUGCAGCUACCUUACUGAUCAUUGUCCUAACCAAAAGGGGAAGCAUAGUUUAUUUUCAAAGCAAGAAAUGAAUGGCAGCUGUGCAGAGUUAGGAGGCUGAAGGGCCGGCAGGGAGGGCUGGUGCCUGUGGAUUGUCUUCCUCCAUCACCAAAGUGCCUUAAGACAGCCCUGCAAACUUAAAUCUGGCUGUCGAUAUGUACACAGUAUAGGCAAGAAGCAACUAUAUCAAGGAGCAUUAACAAAAGACCCUCAAGUCAAGACUCACCUGUUCUCACAGGCUUUUAGUUAGAAUUAAUUUUAAUAAUUUGUUUUAAUAAUUGUUUUAUGUUACUGUUUUUAUGCUGUUUUAAUUAUUUUGUAUUGUUAUCUGUGCUGAUGUCUAAAUAUUAAUUUAAAUUUUGUACACUGCCUAGAGAUGCACAUAUCAGGCAGUAUAAAAAUAUGAUAGAUAGACAGACAGACAGAUAGAUAGAUAGAUAGAUAGAUAGAUAGAUAGAUAGAUAGAUAGAUAGGACCUCCAAAGCAGACGUUUUUGAGGUGAAGCAAUGAAAUACAAGAAGGCCAGAUUGCAUAGAGAAAUCAACAAAGAAUGUUCUGUGGACACAUGUCUCAUCCACUCAUCCUCCUGAAAUAUCUCACAGCAUAGGGCACAGAUCACAUGGCAUUUAUUCCAUGAAGAACUCAUGCAAUGCAUCUGAUCCCAACCGCUCACAUAUAGGAGGCUUCAGAGACAUUAUCCCCACAUCCCUCCAGACAGCUGAGGAGACUGUCCAUGGGAUGGUUAAUCAGAGGUGCCCCAAGAGGAGAAGCUACUUUCUAUACCCUGAGGAGGCUAACCACAGCUAGCAAGAGGUACCUCAGGGAGUGGUUCCUACUGCAUGGCUAUAGCUCCAUCUGUGCAGGCAGCUACUGUGUGGAUGUGCUCCUAGUAAGAGACUCCAGUGGAGGUAGGAUAAUAACCAGUGACUUCAAUAUAUGUCUAAUUUAAUAAAAUACAAUUAGCUGCUGCCUGCUAGAAAAAACAGAGAAGGGCAUGAGUGAAGGGAGAAAUGUAUUGGAAGAAAAAAAGUUUGACUAUCACAUUCCUACUGAACCUUAUACAAAAUGGGAAAUGGUUUUUCUGAUCUUGGCAUCAGAUUUUAGUUACUGGAUUGUACUUCUAUAUAUUCUGAUCAGGAAUGAAGUUGCUGUACUAGAAUGGGUGAAUGAGGACGGCCUACUUUUCAAGACCACAGACCACAAUUGCCCUGGAGGACUGAUUCAUUACAACACUUCAUCUGAUCAUAUGGAGCAUGCAAGAUGGAAACAUAAUAUGACAUUUCUAUGGAUUACAUUUAGGGUUAUACCCUUGUUAUUGCAUACACAAAAGAUCCUCAGAUGCACAUUUGGAUGUACUUAUCAUGGGAAAAUGAGGAAACUCCUAUAUACAGCUUUUCUUGAGAAUGGAGUCUCAGUUUCUUGGAGUGCAUCCAAAAUACAUCAGCGGUAAAGCAAUGAGAUUAAUGAGAAGGCCUCUGUAUGCCAUAUGAGUCCUGAACCAAAAUGCAAUAAAACUAUAGCCCCCCCAC